CGGUUAUCCGGGAUUAUUGGGCGUAAGCGCUCGCAGGCGGUCUUUUAAGUCUGAUGUGAAAGCCCACGGCUCAACCGUGGAGGGUCAUUGGAAACUGGGAGACUUGAGUGCAGAAGAGGAGAGUGGAAUUCCACGUGUAGCGGUGAAAUGCGUAGAGAUGUGGAGGAACACCAGUGGCGAAGGCGACUCUCUGGUCUGUAACUGACGCUGAGGAGCGAAAGCGUGGGGAGCGAACAGGAUUAGAUACCCUGGUAGUCCACGCCGUAAACGAUGAGUGCUAAGUGUUAGAGGGUUUCCGCCCUUUAGUGCUGCAGCAAACGCAUUAAGCACUCCGCCUGGGGAAUACGGUCGCAAGACUGAAACUCAAAGGAAUUGACGGGGGCCCGCACAAGCGGUGGAGCAUGUGGUUUAAUUCGAAGCAACGCGAAGAACCUUACCAGGUCUUGACAUCCUUAUGCCUUCCCUAGAGAUAGGGCUUUCCCUUCGGGGACAUAAGUGACAGGUGGUGCAUGGUUGUCGUCAGCUCGUGUCGUGAGAUGUUGGGUUAAGUCCCGCAACGAGCGCAACCCUUGACCUUAGUUGCCAGCAUUCAGUUGGGCACUCUAAGGUGACUGCCGGUGACAAACCGGAGGAAGGUGGGGAUGACGUCAAAUCAUCAUGCCCCUUAUGACCUGGGGCUACACACGUGCUACAAUGGGAUGGUACA
Molecule: ribosomal RNA, 706 nt
Filed under: uncultured soil bacterium
Lineage: Bacteria
Description: bacterial SSU rRNA
Rfam family: Bacterial small subunit ribosomal RNA
Source: RNAcentral